Molecule: long non-coding RNA, 1555 nt
Filed under: Lonchura striata (white-rumped munia)
Lineage: Eukaryota; Metazoa; Chordata; Aves; Passeriformes; Estrildidae
Description: domestica (Bengalese finch) lncRNA (ENSLSDG00000001182.1)
Source: RNAcentral
GAGGCUGAGAGAGAGAGAGACUUGGCAAGGGAAAUCUUAUGGGUAUACUGAAACAGCAGAUCAGAAUUGUGAAACCAGAGCUAGGGCUGAAAUGUGAUGCUUUUGCUCUUUUGUGCUUGUUGUGGUUCUCAUCUUCCCAUUUAGAGGGCUGCAUACUAUUCAACAGCAUAUUUUGAUCUCAGAUUGAACAAUGCAGCAAUCAAGCCUGAUAAGCCACCUGGAAGUUUUGCUUGAGACGAUUUCUAGUGGGUUUACUGAUCCCUGUGAGCAUCAUGACUGCCUUUAGCAUUGUGGAGGAGGACUCGAGUUUCUUAUGAGGGCCCCACUUGGAAAAGCCGGCUGUGCAGAUUCAAGCCUCCGGUUCUGUUCAUGCUAUUCAAAAGCCUUUCCUCACCCUUGCUGAUUUAUUUUUAUGAUUUACAUACACUCCUGUGGAGAUUUACAGAAUGGAUUGUCUGUGCAUUGUCACGACCAAGCAGAGCCAUGGCAGAUGCCCAUCUCACAAAUGCUCAGUCGAAACACCUGCCUGGAUACCCAUUCAGCACUCUACCGUAAGUUUGAGCCUUUUAAUACAAAGAUUUGAGGGACUGAAUGGUAAGUCUCUGUGCUUGGAGUAGCCCUGGGCGGGUAAACAUAAUUAAUGCAUUUGAGAAAGAACAGUAAUGAGUCCUACAUCUAGACCAAGCUCCUUGGAAAGCCUAAACUGUUGACGUGUUGAGUUUUGGCUUAGCAGUGCUUCUCCAGGAAUUUAGACUCUCUAGGAAUUGAAUGCAUUCAACUUGGACCAGUGGGGAUUGGUGAAAAGUGUGGUAUAGUGUGAUGAUGGAGUGUGGAGUUACUGAUGAUUUCUAUAACUGGGCCCCAGCUGAGUGUGGUGACUGGGAGCCAUCCAGAUCCAGGUGGUGAUGCAAGGAAGGGGAGAUGCAUCUUUCCUUAUCCACAUUCUCAUGGAAAAAAGACUGAUGAUUCCAAGUGCUUUACAGACUAUUAACUGGGAAUCUGCCCAGCAUAGGUAACAACAGCUUUUGGGAUGAUGGAUAAUAAGCAAAACUUGGUCUGCUGAGUUUAUAGGAAAUUUUUGCUGUAAAUGCUUUCCUCCUCUUGCAAAUUAGAUGACUUUAGUGAGAUUUGCUUUUAACUAUCAAAGACAGAGUGAUAUUUGAGAAGGAAAAAACCUAACUGCGGUCAAGUUGACACUGCUUUGAUUUAUAUCUUGUCUCAGCGUGUAUUGUAGAUAGAGCCAAAUCUUUGGGUGUUGGAAGUUAGAGGGGUGACUAUGAGAGCUGUGAUGAUUUAUUGCACCUAAGGAAUUGGCAAGAUUUCACUGACAUUUCCGUUGGCUCUGGACCACAGCAUGAUGUUGGUCCACAGCUAUCAACUUGUCACUUUUUAUGAGUAGAUGAAUGAGAAACAAAUUCAAGUUGUCACUCUCCCUCAGUCUCUCAGUAAUCUUGCAAGUGAUUGUAAGCUCUGAGGUUUUGAUUGUCUUUAUAUUAUGUUAAAAUUAUUUAUGUUAUUGUUUAUCUCUAUGAUAAGACCUGCUUAAAAAUAUCAA